AUGAAGAGGAUGGUCACUUUGAGUUACAACCACUUGCCAUCUCAUCUUAAAUCAUGUUUCUUAUACCUAAGCAUCUUUCCCGAGGAUUUAGAAAUUCAGACGAGGCGUCUAGUAGAAAGAUGGAUUGCUGAGGGGUUUAUUAGAGCUAGGACUGGGGUGAAAGUUGAGGAUGUCGCAAAAGGUUACUUUAAUGAGUUAAUCAACCGAAGCCUGCUUCAACCAUCAAUAGUGAACAUAGAAGGAGUUGUUAAGAGCUUUCGAGUCCAUGAUAUUGUGCGGGAUGUCAUGAUCUCAAUUUCUCAAGAUGAAAACUUCAUAUAUGUAGUGGGAGAUAAUGUAACUAGUGUUGCCGAGGAGACCUUCCGACAUGUAGCAUACCAUGGUGUCAUGUGCCAAAAGUUAGACAUUGAUUGGAGCCAUGUCUGGUCAGUAACUGUGUUUGGUGAGAGAUCAUUGGGGCCAUCACCUUUAGUUUGUUCACCUCAUAUGAGAAUGCUCCGAGCCCAGGAACAUAGGCUUGUUGCACCACUUGAAGUAUGCGAAUUUGUCUAG
RNAcentral lists this ribosomal RNA (552 nucleotides) under Triticum aestivum (bread wheat). RNAcentral describes it as "partial small subunit ribosomal RNA". The record is from RNAcentral. Lineage: Eukaryota; Viridiplantae; Streptophyta; Magnoliopsida; Poales; Poaceae.